RNAcentral lists this ribosomal RNA (253 nucleotides) under uncultured bacterium. RNAcentral describes it as "partial 16S ribosomal RNA". It matches the Rfam family "Bacterial small subunit ribosomal RNA", at positions 524 to 776 of the family's 1533-position model. The record is from RNAcentral.
UACGGAGGAUCCAAGCGUUAUCCGGAAUCAUUGGGUUUAAAGGGCCCGUAGGCGGUUUUGUAAGUCAGUGGUGAAAGCCCAUCGCUCAACGGUGGAACGGCCAUUGAUACUGCAAGACUUGAAUUAUUAGGAAGUAACUAGAAUAUGUAGUGUAGCGGUGAAAUGCUUAGAUAUUACAUGGAAUACCAAUUGCGAAGGCAGGUUACUACUAGUGGAUUGACGCUGAUGGACGAAAGCGUGGGGAGCGAACAGG